Molecule: long non-coding RNA, 773 nt
Filed under: Capsicum annuum
Lineage: Eukaryota; Viridiplantae; Streptophyta; Magnoliopsida; Solanales; Solanaceae
Description: long non-coding RNA (CANN_LNC015116)
Source: RNAcentral
ACCAAUUUUCGUCCAUGAGGUGAUGGAAAAUGACCAUAUUGCCCUUAAAAAUUUAAGUAAAUCCGAAUCUGUCCAUGGUGGACUGUUUUGAUAGGCUAAAGUAAAUCGGCCAUAACUCUUUGCUCCGAUAUCGGAUUUGGGUGAAAUUGGUAUCGUUAGAAAGAUAAUUCAAAGGUAUUUCAUUUAAUAUAAAUUAAUCCACCCAGUUCGUCCUGUACAAGUAGAAUUCAAAGGUAUUUCAUUUCAUAUAAAUUAAGCCACCCAGUUCGUCCUGUACAAGUAGUUAUGAUCGUUUGAAGUUGACCCUAAAAAUCUGUUUUGAGAGGCUGAAGUAAAACGAGUAUAACUCCUUACUCAGAUGUUGGAUUUGGAAGUAACCAAUUGCAUUGGAAAGAAGACGCAGAGAUCUUUCUUUUGAUAUGUGGUAGCUCUCCCAGUUCAUUAUAUUUAGGGAGUUAUGAUCGUUCAAAGUUGACCCAAAAAACUGGCAGGCCUCAGUAGUUUUCCUGCACAUUUACUGUUCACAUCCCGGCCACCGUUUUAAAGUUUCGAACGAGCUCGCUUAUAUCCGAAACUUAUCCGUUUUUGGAAAUCUUUAUAUCGUUGGAAAGCUUAUUCAAUAACCUUCGUAUGGAACCAUCGACGGGAAAAUUCCGGUAUAAAUAAAGUCGAUUCCUAUACACCUAUAAUCAAACUACACACUUGAAACCAUCUCAAAAUAAUCAAUACUCAUACUUAAACUCAUAUAUACCUAACUUAGGAUCAAUACAUAU